This 561-nucleotide ribosomal RNA is filed under the name uncultured bacterium. RNAcentral's name for it is "bacterial SSU rRNA". It matches the Rfam family "Bacterial small subunit ribosomal RNA", at positions 83 to 658 of the family's 1533-position model. The record is from RNAcentral.
CCGGGUGGAUGAGUGGCGAACGGGUGAGUAACACGUGAGUAACCUGCCCCUGACUUCGGGAUAAGCCCGGGAAACUGGGUCUAAUACCGGAUACGACUGCCGGACGCAUGUCUGGUGGUGGAAAGUUUUUUCGGUUGGGGAUGGGCUCGCGGCCUAUCAGUUUGUUGGUGAGGUAAUGGCUCACCAAGACGACGACGGGUAGCCGGCCUGAGAGGGCGACCGGCCACACUGGGACUGAGACACGGCCCAGACUCCUACGGGAGGCAGCAGUGGGGAAUAUUGCACAAUGGGGGAAACCCUGAUGCAGCGACGCAGCGUGCGGGAUGACGGCCUUCGGGUUGUAAACCGCUUUCAGCAGGGAAGAAGCGCAAGUGACGGUACCUGCAGAAGAAGUACCGGCUAACUACGUGCCAGCAGCCGCGGUAAUACGUAGGGUACGAGCGUUGUCCGGAAUUAUUGGGCGUAAAGAGCUCGUAGGUGGUUGGUCACGUCUGCUGUGGAAACGCAACGCUUAACGUUGCGCGUGCAGUGGGUACGGGCUGACUAGAGUGCAGUAGGGGA